GGACGGGGGAGGCCACCACAACGAGGUGGAGCCUGCGGUUUAAGUCGGACUCAACGCCGGGAAACUCACCAGAUAAGACAGCUGAAUGAUAGUCGGGCUGAAGACUCUACUUGACUAGCUGAGAGGAGGUGCAUGGCCGUCGUCAGUUCGUACUGUGAAGCAUCCUGUUAAGUCAGGCAACGAGCCGAGACCCACGCCAACAGUUGCCAGCUCGUCCUCCGGGAUGGUGGGGACACUGUUGGGACCGCCUCUGCUAAAGAGGAGGAAGGAAUGGGCAACGGUAGGUCAGCAUGCCCCGAAUUAUCUGGGCUACACGCGGGCUACAAUGGGUGGGACAAUGGGUAUCGACACCGAAAGGUGAAGGCAAUCUCCUAAAACCCAUCCGUAGUUCGGAUUGUGGGCUGCAACUCCGCCCACAUGAAGCUGGAAUCUGUAGUAAUCGUGUCUCAAAAUGGCACGGUGAAUAUGUCCCUGCUCCUU
RNAcentral lists this ribosomal RNA (480 nucleotides) under uncultured Methanomicrobiales archaeon. RNAcentral's name for it is "bacterial SSU rRNA". It matches the Rfam family "Archaeal small subunit ribosomal RNA", at positions 867 to 1338 of the family's 1478-position model. Lineage: Archaea; Methanobacteriati; Methanobacteriota; Methanomicrobia; Methanomicrobiales. The record is from RNAcentral.